CCUACGGGAGGCAGCAGUGGGGAAUAUUGCGCAAUGGGGGCAACCCUGACGCAGCAACGCCGCGUGAUUGAAGAAGGUCCUCGGGUUGUAAAGAUCUUUAAUUGGGGACGAAAACAAUGACGGUACCCAAAGAAUAAGCUUCGGCUAACCACGUGCCAGCAGCCGCGGGAAUACGUAGGGAGCAAGCGUUAUCCGGAUUUACUGGGUGUAAAGGGGGAGUAGGCGGGUUGGCAAGUUGGGAGUGAAAUCCCGGGGCUUAAACCCGGAACUGCUUUCAAAACUGCUGGUCUUGAGUGAGGGAGAGGCAGGCGGAAUGCCGGGUGUAGCGGUGAAAUGCAUAGAUAUACGGCGGAACACCAGUGGCGAAGGCGGCCUGCUGGACAUUAACUGACGCUGAGGAGCGAAAGCGUGGGGAGCGAACAGGAUUAGAUACCCUAGUAGUC
Molecule: ribosomal RNA, 443 nt
Filed under: uncultured bacterium
Lineage: Bacteria
Description: partial 16S ribosomal RNA
Rfam family: Bacterial small subunit ribosomal RNA
Source: RNAcentral